AGCUCUUGAAAUAUGCCCUCAUGUUAAACACCUAGGCAAGUUUUCAUUAUUUCCAAAUCAUUUUUAUUGUAUUCAAUCAAAUUCAAUCAAUUAAACUGAUGGUUCUCUGGUUUUGCUUCUUUACUAUUGGGAUUAUUGUAACGCCCGUCUCCCAAAUCCUACUCUUGUGCCCUAACUUGAACAACAAGAAACACCUGCAUACACUGAACAUGAAAGAGGAAAAUUGGUGAAUAACACACAGUCAUUCAGUGAGGAUGGUCAUUUUUACCCACAUGACUCCUAACAUUAUUAACCAACUUGCAUGCGAAAAUACUAGUCCUAGAACAUUCAUCACCCAAUAUAUUAAGCAAUUAACAAACAUAACACAUCAUUUAUUUCAAUACAUAUUCAUUAAUCGCAUUAACAUUUGUCAUCUCAUAACCAUUUCCAAUAUUAAUAAUAGGGCAAACCUCCAAAAUAGUACAUUUCUAAGUUUAUGUCACAAAAAUAGCCCUCAAAAACUAAAAUGACCAAAAUAGCAUUUUAUCUUUUGAAAAAUUAAUUUUUUUUUAUUUUUCAAAAUUUGAAAUCUUAUCCCAAAACCCCACUCUCCAACUCUAAACUCUAAACCCUAAACCCUAAAUCCUAAACUCUAAACCCUAAAUCCUAAACCCCACCCCUUAACUCUAAACCCCACCCCUUAACUCUAAACCCUAAACCCUAAACCCUAAACCCCACCCCUUAACUCUAAACCCUAAACCCUAAAUCCUAAACCUCACCCCUUAACUCUAAACCCUAAACCCAAGAUCCUAAACCCUAAACCCUAGAUCCUAAACCCCACCC
RNAcentral lists this long non-coding RNA (822 nucleotides) under Brassica napus (rape). Its description in RNAcentral is "long non-coding RNA (BNAP_LNC011706)". The record is from RNAcentral. Lineage: Eukaryota; Viridiplantae; Streptophyta; Magnoliopsida; Brassicales; Brassicaceae.